ACAAAAUCCUGGCAUCUAAGGGAUUCUCCAUUUAAUGAAUACAAAAAGAAGCAAAAUGUCAUGCCCAGGUGCACUCUGAAUCAAGCCAUGUGGAUACAAACAUGGUCCCCACUCCAUGCUUCCAUCUGCACACCGGCAAAACUGAACACAGCUGAUUGCAGGCACUGCUGACUACGCUUGCCAGGGACCAAACAUGAACCAUGGAAAAAUACUAGCUAAUGAGGUGACCAUAUGGUUCUGGUCUUUCAGUUUGUAUACAUGGUUCAUUACAUUGAUUGAUUUACCCAUGUCUCUAGAAUAAUGCUAACUUGGUCAUGAUGGAUAAUCUUUUUUAUGUGCUCUUGAAUUUGGUUUUUUAAGUAUUUGUUGAGAAUUGUUCCAGCUAUCUUCAUAAGGCUUGCUGGUCUAUAAUUUCCUUUAUUGUUGAGUCUUUGUGUGGUUUAGUUUUCAGGAUAAUAUUGGCUUUAUAAAAAGAAUUAUGUAGUGUUCCUUCAGUUUCUAUUUUUUUGUAGUAAUUUGAGGAGUAAUGGAGUUAAUUCUUCUUUAAGGCCUGAUAGAAUUCUGUGCUGAAUUCAUCUGUCCAUGAACUUUUUUUGGAGUAGGAGACUUUUAAUGCUUUUAUUUUACUAGGUGUUAUUUCACUAGGAGGUUUUCCAGUUUGGUAGAGUACAGAAUUUUUAAGUUGAACCGGAAUAUCCAACUGUCACACCUUCCCCAACCGAUGUACAAAAGUUCCCGAAUUCCUUGGCGAAGGUGGAACCUGGAAUACACAGACACG
This is a long non-coding RNA of Peromyscus eremicus (cactus mouse), 778 nucleotides long. RefSeq lists it as uncharacterized. The record is from RefSeq and is a predicted model, not a curated record. NCBI's taxonomy places the organism in Eukaryota, Metazoa, Chordata, Mammalia, Rodentia, Cricetidae. The transcript has 4 exons.